AUCCUUUUCUGGUUCAUAAGCGUGAUGAUUGGGUGUUCAUGUGGUUGUGUGACGUGUGCCACUUUCAAACUUUGUUACGCAUCUGCACAUUACCUAUCUGACC
Nannospalax galili (Upper Galilee mountains blind mole rat) is the source of this 103-nucleotide small nucleolar RNA. RefSeq annotates it as small nucleolar RNA U13. The transcript has a single exon. Lineage: Eukaryota; Metazoa; Chordata; Mammalia; Rodentia; Spalacidae. The record is from RefSeq and is a predicted model, not a curated record.